GAUGAACGCUGGCGGCGUGCCUAAUACAUGCAAGUCGAGCGAACGGACGAGAAGCUUGCUUCUCUGAUUUUAGCGGCGGACGGGUGAUUAACACGUGGAUAACCUACCUAUAAGACUGGGAUAACUUCGGGAAACCGGGGCUAAUACCGGAUGAUAUUUUGAACCGCAUGGUUCAAAAGUGAAAGACGUUCUUGCUGUCACUUAUAGAUGGAUCCGCGCUGCAUUAGCUAGUUGGUAAGGUAACGGCUUACCAAGGCAACGAUGCAUAGCCGACCUGAGAGGGUGAUCGGCCACACUGGAACUGAGACACGGUCCAGACUCCUACGGGAGGCAGCAGUAGGGAAUCUUCCGCAAUGGGCGAAAGCCUGACGGAGCAACGCCGCGUGAGUGAUGAAGGUCUUCGGAUCGUAAAACUCUGUUAUUAGGGAAGAACAUAUGUGUAAGUAACUGUGCACAUCUUGACGGUACCUAAUCAGAAAGCCACGGCUAACUACGUG
RNAcentral lists this ribosomal RNA (497 nucleotides) under uncultured bacterium. RNAcentral's name for it is "partial 16S ribosomal RNA". It matches the Rfam family "Bacterial small subunit ribosomal RNA", at positions 28 to 507 of the family's 1533-position model. The record is from RNAcentral.